Long non-coding RNA from Xyrauchen texanus (razorback sucker), 837 nucleotides. RefSeq lists it as uncharacterized. NCBI's taxonomy places the organism in Eukaryota, Metazoa, Chordata, Actinopteri, Cypriniformes, Catostomidae. The transcript is spliced from 4 exons. The record is from RefSeq and is a predicted model, not a curated record.
GACAGAAGAUGUUCAUGGUUUGACUUUCUACUCGAGUCGUGUCAAUAUAAAUAUAAUAGAUCAGGAUUCUUCUACACAACAGAAGAUGUUCAUGGUUUGACUUUCUACUCGAGUCGUGUCAAUAUAUAUAUAAUAGAUCAGGAUUCUUCUACACAACAGAUGAUGUGAAUGUUUCUGCACUUCACUCAUUUAUUCAAGAUGUUUAUCUUAAUGAGAGAAAUAAAUGCUCGGAAGAACGAGAGAAAGUGAGAAAAUGACCAAAGAUCAACGAGUCAAUGAAGAAUCAAACAGUUCCAUGUUUGUUCGGCGAAACAGCACACAUAGUGGCCGACCAAACAUGUCUGCUGAUCUCAGACCUGUACAAACACAAUCUUAUGUAUCACAGACUGUUAAACAUGAGAAAAGCACAUCAAGAUCUCUUCUGGAAGACUGUCUGAGACACGUUCAACUCAACUUUCAGCAUUUACGAUUGAAAAUGAAGCAAAACUUCAAAUAAUCUCUCAAACUCUAAAAACUGUUCAACAAUAGUUCAACAUCAAUCCUGUUGUAGGGGAAUGAAGGUCAUAAAUGAUCAUUUCUGGACUAAAAAGAUGCUGAAAAAUGUAAAACUGGAGUGGUGGUGAUGUAGUGGUCUAAGCACAUAACUGGCAAUCUGGUAAUCAGAAGGUUGCUGGUUUGAUCCCCACAGUCACCACCAUUGUGUCCUUGAGUAAGACACUUAACUCCAGGUUGCUCCGGGGGGAUUGUCCCUGUAAUAAGUGCACUGUAAGCCGCUUUGGAUAAAAGCAUCUGUCAAAUGCAUAAAUGUAAAUAUAAAACAAAAACUUUGAGAACAAA